UCCCCGAUAGCUCAGUUGGUAGAGCAGCGGACUGUUAAUCCGCGUGUCGCUGGUUCGAGCCCAGCUCGGGGAGCCA
This 76-nucleotide transfer RNA is filed under the name Pseudomonadota bacterium. RNAcentral describes it as "tRNA-Asn". It matches the Rfam family "tRNA". From Rfam's summary of the family: Transfer RNA (tRNA) molecules are approximately 80 nucleotides in length. Their secondary structure includes four short double-helical elements and three loops (D, anti-codon, and T loops). Further hydrogen bonds mediate the characteristic L-shaped molecular structure. tRNAs have two regions of fundamental functional importance: the anti-codon, which is responsible for specific mRNA codon recognition, and the 3' end, to which the tRNAs corresponding amino acid is attached (by aminoacyl-tRNA synthetases). tRNAs cope with the degeneracy of the genetic code in two manners: having more than one tRNA (with a specific anti-codon) for a particular amino acid; and 'wobble' base-pairing, i.e. permitting non-standard base-pairing at the 3rd anti-codon position. Lineage: Bacteria; Pseudomonadati; Pseudomonadota. RNAcentral also lists the same sequence under 1 other name. The record is from RNAcentral.